Molecule: long non-coding RNA, 1658 nt
Organism: Micropterus salmoides (largemouth bass)
Lineage: Eukaryota; Metazoa; Chordata; Actinopteri; Centrarchiformes; Centrarchidae
Exons: 4
Source: RefSeq, a predicted model, not a curated record
GAAUUCAGUUAAUGUACGUAUUAGCUAGCAAUAUGUCUAAACCUUAAGGUUGGUUUAUUUGGUAACAAUAUUAUGAACUUUAAAUGCUGGGAGUUGGUGGGGGUCACCUGGCUGGAGCUGCAGCUCGAGCGUCAUGGACAGAGAAAGCGUUGGAGAUAACAGGCUGCUGACCCUCUGAUGACCUGGCAUGGUGUGAAACACGUCACAUAGGAGUGGCUGCAAACCCAUGUGUGAGUCUCUCCAGGCAAUCAUCUGUCCGUCUCUCACUCACACUCAGAGCGCACCUUGAGGGCAGCCCUGCCUCUGUGUACCAGCAUGGAUUAAACCCUCAUGCGUGUUUUCAUCCGGAGGCCGCUCUGCUGUCCUGGAAGUUGACUGGUGACCACAGGUGGAAAACCAGCGGUAUGUUGUCACCGCCUCCAGGCUCGAGCUCAAGGAGAAAAUGGAAAUAGCCAACAUCGAACCGACGCAGUCAAUACCACUCUCCAGAAAAGAGCUGAGAGGGACGCUCUCCGCCGCAGAGCAAGACUGAUGGAGGGAGGAGUGGGCGAUAGCCAGAGUAUGUCAGGUUUCAUCUGCCCUGUGUGACACACAGCACUCUGACAGCUCUGCUACACACGAUCUAGUCUCAAAACUAUCUCUCUCAUGCACACACUCUUCUGUCUUCCCCUCUCUUUCCAGUCCAGCCAUCUUUAUCAGUCUCUCACCCCCUCUGGGCUGCCAUUUUGCAGCAUAUGGGUCUCCCACACGAGUACUCACACAUGCACUGCCAUAUGCGUUUGCUCAUACACCCUCACUUGCACAGUCUUUCCCUCUCUUCUCCUGUUUAUUUGCUCUUCUUCCUUCUCUGUGUCUUUAUUAAAAUAGCACCUAGCCCAGUCAUUCGCAUUUAAAUGAGCUAAUUUUGAAAAAGAAACAAGAUGGCGAAGGGGGGAUAUGAUUGGAAAGAUGAUUUUGAAUCUGUCUGAAAUAUUCAUCUCUGUCUGCCGAUGUUUCCACUGACCGUUUGAUUGGCUGAAAUGGCUGUCAGUCAGGCAUUCAAACUCUCACCUGUCAGUCACCGUGAAAUCUCAUGUCUCCACACAUGAUUUGAUUUGUCGACCUCUUUCACUUCCUCUGCCCAUUUCUGCCUCAAACAUAUGGAAGAUUCAGCUGCAGGCCCUGGUACAGUUUGGUCCUCCGACCUGCAGGUGUUCCAGCAGAGGUGUUUGAUGAAACACUGGUCGUACUGGGCAGGUGUGAACGCGUGUAACCAUUGUGGCAUGGCUAAAACGUGCUUUGUAACAUCUUGCGCAGAGGGGUUUUCUGACAUGUUGUCUCACCAUGCAGCUGUGUGCACAUGUGCACAUUUCCAAAAUGUGAACCACAUGGACGUGCCUGCACACGACCCAUGUCGGCUACAUGUUUUAGGCCUCAAUCAUUACUGAUUUGAUUAAGGUUUAAAGAGUAGCAAAAGGUAAUUGUGGCCUUUUUCCUCAACAUAAGAGGAUUAUUAAUGUUUCAAUCCAGAAAAGGAGGAUUAAUAUGGUGAGACGUUGAGGGAUGACAUCUGGAGCUCAUGGUUAUACAUAAAGAGUUUAAUAAGGUGCAGUAACUACUGUAAUGUUUUUGAAACUGUAUUGUGUGUAAGAUUUUGUUCAUAUAGCACCUUGUAAAAC